This 1110-nucleotide ribosomal RNA is filed under the name Venturiocistella sp. KUS-F52028. RNAcentral's name for it is "eukaryotic LSU rRNA". It matches the Rfam family "Eukaryotic large subunit ribosomal RNA", at positions 81 to 1007 of the family's 3401-position model. Lineage: Eukaryota; Fungi; Ascomycota; Leotiomycetes; Helotiales; Hyphodiscaceae. The record is from RNAcentral.
CAGUAACGGCGAGUGAAGCGGUAACAGCUCAAAUUUGAAAUCUGGCUCUUUCAGGGUCCGAGUUGUAAUUUGUAGAAGAUGCUUCGAGUGUAGCUCCGGUCUAAGUUCCUUGGAACAGGACGUCAUAGAGGGUGAGAAUCCCGUAUGUGACUGGCGGCUUUCGCUCAUGUGAAGCUCUUUCGACGAGUCGAGUUGUUUGGGAAUGCAGCUCAAAAUGGGUGGUAAAUUUCAUCUAAAGCUAAAUAUUGGCCAGAGACCGAUAGCGCACAAGUAGAGUGAUCGAAAGAUGAAAAGCACUUUGGAAAGAGAGUUAAACAGUACGUGAAAUUGUUGAAAGGGAAGCGCUUGCAACCAGACUUGCACUUGAGCGAUCAUCCGGGGUUCUCUCCGGUGCACUCGUUCUCGUUCAGGCCAGCAUCGGUUCAGGUGGUGGGAUAAAGGCCUUGGGAAUGUAGCUUCUUUCGGGGAGUGUUAUAGCCCUCGGUGCAAUGCCGCCUACCUGGACCGAGGACCGCGCUUCGGCUAGGAUGCUGGCGUAAUGGUUGUAAGCGACCCGUCUUGAAACACGGACCAAGGAGUCUAACAUCUAUGCGAGUGUUUGGGUGUCAAACCCAUACGCGUAAUGAAAGUGAACGGAGGUGAGAACCCUUAAGGGUGCAUCAUCGACCGAUCCUGAUGUCUUCGGAUGGAUUUGAGUAAGAGCAUAGCUGUUGGGACCCGAAAGAUGGUGAACUAUGCCUGAAUAGGGUGAAGCCAGAGGAAACUCUGGUGGAGGCUCGCAGCGGUUCUGACGUGCAAAUCGAUCGUCAAAUUUGGGUAUAGGGGCGAAAGACUAAUCGAACCAUUGCUAGGUGGCUAAGAGAGGAUUCUAGCUGAGAAGCGACAGGCUCAAAUUGUUCGGGGACCUCCUGCUAGGCUGAACUACCGCCCCCGCCGCGAAAGCGACGGUAGGCACCACGGUUAACCGCCGUGGGUACGGUAAAAACGUUUCAGAUAGGGACUAUCCGCAGCCAACUCCUAAAGACCCGCCGGUCCACGGAGCAGGUUCACAGACUAAAUGGGCGUGGGUUCUCGCGUGCGAGAGCUGAAGUUAUAGUCGAUCCGCCCCGA